CCUACGUGAGGCUGCAGUGAGGCAUAUUGGUCAAUGGCCGGACGGCUGAACCAGCCAUGCCGCGUGAAGGUCAGUGCCCUAUGGGCGUUAAACUUCUUUUGUGCGGGAGCAAUAAUGGUCACGUGUGGCCAGACGAGAGUACCGUACGAAUAAGCAUCGGCUACCACCGUGCCAGCAGCCGCGGUAAUCCGGGGGAUGCAAGCGUUAUCCGGAUUUAUUGGGUUUAAAGGGUGCGUAGGCUGUGAGGUAAGUCAGCGGUGAAAUGCCCCCGCUCAACGGGGUGAAGUGCCAUUGAUACUGCCUUGCUGGAAUGCGGAUGCCGAGGGAGGAAUGUGGGGUGUAGCGGUGAAAUGCAUAGAUAUCACACAGAACACCGAUUGCGAAGGCAUCUCACGAAUCCGCGAUUGACGCUGAGGCACGAAAGCGUGGGUAUCAAACAGGAUUAGAUACCCGAGUAGUC
Molecule: ribosomal RNA, 460 nt
Filed under: uncultured bacterium
Lineage: Bacteria
Description: partial 16S ribosomal RNA
Rfam family: Bacterial small subunit ribosomal RNA
Source: RNAcentral